This 382-nucleotide ribosomal RNA is filed under the name uncultured eukaryote. RNAcentral's name for it is "partial 18S ribosomal RNA". It matches the Rfam family "Eukaryotic small subunit ribosomal RNA", at positions 592 to 976 of the family's 1831-position model. The record is from RNAcentral.
CAAUAGCGUAUAUUAAAGUUGUUGCAGUUAAAAAGCUCGUAGUUGGAUUUCUGGAUGGAGCGACCGGUCGGGCAUUAAUUUGUCUGCACUGGAGUCGGUUCCGUCCAUCCUCUUGGAAAGUGCGUGGGGCAUUAAGUUGUCUGGCGUAUGAUCCAAGUCGUCUACUGUGAAAAAAUUAGAGUGUUUAAAGCAGGCCUUCGCCUUGAAUACAUUAGCAUGGAAUAAUAAGAUAGGACUUUGGUCUAUUUUGUUGGUUUGCAGACCGAAGUAAUGAUUAAUAGGGAUAGUUGGGGGUAUUUAUAUUCCGAUGUCAGAGGUGAAAUUCUUAGAUUUUCGGAAGAUAAACUUAUGCGAAAGCAUUUACCAAGGAUGUUUUCAUUAA